UCCGGUUUGUCACCGGCAGUCUCAUUAGAGUGCCCUUUCGUAGCAACUAAUGACAAGGGUUGCGCUCGUUGCGGGACUUAACCCAACAUCUCACGACACGAGCUGACGACAGCCAUGCAGCACCUGUGCGCCGGUUCUCUUUCGAGCACUCCUCCGUCUCUGGAGGAUUCCGACCAUGUCAAGGGUAGGUAAGGUUUUUCGCGUUGCAUCGAAUUAAUCCACAUCAUCCACCGCUUGUGCGGGUCCCCGUCAAUUCCUUUGAGUUUUAAUCUUGCGACCGUACUCCCCAGGCGGUCAACUUCACGCGUUAGCUGCGUUACCAAGUCAAUUAAGACCCGACAACUAGUUGACAUCGUUUAGGGCGUGGACUAC
Molecule: unclassified non-coding RNA, 372 nt
Filed under: uncultured Gammaproteobacteria bacterium
Lineage: Bacteria; Pseudomonadati; Pseudomonadota; Gammaproteobacteria
Description: contains 16S-23S intergenic spacer region
Source: RNAcentral